UACGAAGGGGGCUAGCGUUGCUCGGAAUCACUGGGCGUAAAGCGCACGUAGGCGGAUUGCUAAGUCAGGGGUGAAAUCCUGGAGCUCAACUCCAGAACUGCCUUUGAUACUGGCGACCUUGAGUCCGGGAGAGGUGAGUGGAACUGCGAGUGUAGAGGUGAAAUUCGUAGAUAUUGGGAAGAACACCGGUGGCGAAGGCGGCUCACUGGCUCGUUUCUGACGCUCAGGCGCGACAGCGUGGGGAUCAAACAGG
This 253-nucleotide ribosomal RNA is filed under the name uncultured bacterium. RNAcentral describes it as "partial 16S ribosomal RNA". It matches the Rfam family "Bacterial small subunit ribosomal RNA", at positions 524 to 776 of the family's 1533-position model. The record is from RNAcentral.